Molecule: long non-coding RNA, 286 nt
Filed under: Lathyrus oleraceus (garden pea)
Lineage: Eukaryota; Viridiplantae; Streptophyta; Magnoliopsida; Fabales; Fabaceae
Description: Pisum sativum (pea) long non-coding RNA (PSAT_LNC020171)
Source: RNAcentral
UUUUUUUGGUGAAACUCUCAUUUUUUUUUUGGAUCAAUAUUAAAAUUAAUACGAAUUAAUGAAAAUAACACAAAUAAAAUGAAAAUUGGAAAAUCAGAAAAAACGUGGACCACUUGAUCUCCCUCAUUAAUUGAGGUGGAAGAUCAAGUGGAUCUAAACGCACGUUCCAUGAUGAAGUUGAGUCAGCGCGCCACAUGAGUGGUAAUCAAAACCAAUGCUCGUGAUUAAAACAAUUUGAAUAGAUCAUGUGGCUCUGGACCAUGCCAACUCACCACCGGAGCAAAAC